Salmo salar (Atlantic salmon) is the source of this 73-nucleotide non-coding RNA. The record is from Rfam. NCBI's taxonomy places the organism in Eukaryota, Metazoa, Chordata, Actinopteri, Salmoniformes, Salmonidae.
GUCCCUGUGGCUCAGUUGGUAGAGCAUGGUGUGUGCAACACCAGGGUUGUGGGUUCGAUUCCCACGGGGGGCC